RNAcentral lists this ribosomal RNA (478 nucleotides) under uncultured bacterium. RNAcentral describes it as "partial 16S ribosomal RNA". It matches the Rfam family "Bacterial small subunit ribosomal RNA", at positions 28 to 523 of the family's 1533-position model. The record is from RNAcentral.
GAUGAACGCUGACAGAAUGCUUAACACAUGCAAGUCUACUUGAUUCUACUUCGGUAGUUGAUGGUGGCGGACGGGUGAGUAACGCGUAAAGAAUCUGCCCUUUAGUUUGGGAUAACCUUUGGAAACGAAUGCUAAUACCGAAUAUUAUGGAGAUGUCGCAUGACGACUUCAUGACAGCUAUAUGCGCUAGAGGAGGACUUUGCGUCCCAUUAGUUAGUUGGUGAGGUAAUGGCUCACCAAGACCGCGAUGGGUAGCCGGACUGAGAGGGUGAUCAGCCACAAGGGAACUGAGACACGGUCCUUGCUCCUACGGGAGGCAGCAGUGGGGAAUAUUGGACAAUGGACCACAAGUCUGAUCCAGCAAUUCUGUGUGCACGAUGAAGGUCUUCGGAUUGUAAAGUGCUGUCAGUAGGGAAGAAAAAAAUGACGGUACCUACAGAAGAAGCGACGGCUAAAUAUGUGCCAGCAGCCGCGGUAA